Molecule: ribosomal RNA, 857 nt
Filed under: uncultured Gammaproteobacteria bacterium
Lineage: Bacteria; Pseudomonadati; Pseudomonadota; Gammaproteobacteria
Description: bacterial SSU rRNA
Rfam family: Bacterial small subunit ribosomal RNA
Source: RNAcentral
CGGAGGGUGCGAGCGUUAAUCGGAAUUACUGGGCGUAAAGCGCGCGUAGGCGGUUUGGUAAGUCGGAUGUGAAAGCCCAGGGCUUAACCUUGGAACUGCAUUCGAUACUGCCUGACUAGAGUAUGGUAGAGGGAGGUAGAAUUCCACGUGUAGCGGUGAAAUGCGUAGAGAUGUGGAGGAAUACCGGUGGCGAAGGCGGCCUCCUGGACCAAUACUGACGCUGAGGUGCGAAGGCGUGGGGAGCGAACAGGAUUAGAUACCCUGGUAGUCCACGCGGUAAACGAUGUCAACUAGCCGUUGGGGAUCUUGUUAUUCUUAGUGGCGCAGCUAACGCGAUAAGUUGACCGCCUGGGGAGUACGGUCGCAAGAUUAAAACUCAAAUGAAUUGACGGGGGCCCGCACAAGCGGUGGAGCAUGUGGUUUAAUUCGACGCAACGCGAAAAACCUUACCUGGCCUUGACAUCCCCGGAACCUGCCAGAGAUGGCGGGGUGCCUUCGGGAACCGGGUGACAGGUGCUGCAUGGCUGUCGUCAGCUCGUGUCGUGAGAUGUUGGGUUAAGUCCCGUAACGAGCGCAACCCUUGUCCUUAUUUGCCAGCAACUCGGUUGGGCACUCUAGGGAGACUGCCGGUGACAAGCCGGAGGAAGGUGGGGACGACGUCAAGUCAUCAUGGCCCUUACGGCCAGGGCUACACACGUGCUACAAUGGGGCGUACAAAGGGCUGCAAGCCUGCGAAGGUAAGCUAAUCCUCAAAACGUCUCGUAGUCCGGAUCGCAGUCUGCAACUCGACUGCGUGAAGUCGGAAUCGCUAGUAAUCGUAGAUCAGCAUGCUACGGUGAAUACGUUCCCGGGCCUUG